AUUGAACGCUGGCGGCAUGCCUUACACAUGCAAGUCGAACGGCAGCACGGAGCUUGCUCUGGUGGCGAGUGGCGAACGGGUGAGUAAUAUAUCGGAACGUACCCUAGAGUGGGGGAUAACGUAGCGAAAGUUACGCUAAUACCGCAUACGAUCUAAGGAUGAAAGUGGGGGAUCGCAAGACCUCAUGCUCGUGGAGCGGCCGAUAUCUGAUUAGCUAGUUGGUAGGGUAAAAGCCUACCAAGGCAUCGAUCAGUAGCUGGUCUGAGAGGACGACCAGCCACACUGGAACUGAGACACGGUCCAGACUCCUACGGGAGGCAGCAGUGGGGAAUUUUGGACAAUGGGCGAAAGCCUGAUCCAGCAAUGCCGCGUGAGUGAAGAAGGCCUUCGGGUUGUAAAGCUCUUUUGUCAGGGAAGAAACGGUGAAAGCUAAUAUCUCUUGCUAAUGACGGUACCUGAAGAAUAAGCACCGGCUAACUACGUGCCAGCAGCCGCGGUAAUACGUAGGGUGCAAGCGUUAGUCGGAAUUACUGGGCGUAAAGCGUGCGCAGGCGGUUUUGUAAGUCUGAUGUGAAAUCCCCGGGCUCAACCUGGGAAUUGCAUUGGAGACUGCAAGGCUAGAAUCUGGCAGAGGGGGGUAGAAUUCCACGUGUAGCAGUGAAAUGCGUAGAUAUGUGGAGGAACACCGAUGGCGAAGGCAGCCCCCUGGGUCAAGAUUGACGCUCAUGCACGAAAGCGUGGGGAGCAAACAGGAUUAGAUACCCUGGUAGUCCACGCCCUAAACGAUGUCUACUAGUUGUCGGGUCUUAAUUGACUUGGUAACGCAGCUAACGCGUGAAGUAGACCGCCUGGGGAGUACGGUCGCAAGAUUAAAACUCAAAGGAAUUGACGGGGACCCGCACAAGCGGUGGAUGAUGUGGAUUAAUUCGAUGCAACGCGAAAAACCUUACCUACCCUUGACAUGGCUGGAAUCCUCGAGAGAUUGAGGAGUGCUCGAAAGAGAACCAGUACACAGGUGCUGCAUGGCUGUCGUCAGCUCGUGUCGUGAGAUGUUGGGUUAAGUCCCGCAACGAGCGCAACCCUUGUCAUUAGUUGCUACGAAAGGGCACUCUAAUGAGACUGCCGGUGACAAACCGGAGGAAGGUGGGGAUGACGUCAAGUCCUCAUGGCCCUUAUGGGUAGGGCUUCACACGUCAUACAAUGGUACAUACAGAGCGCCGCCAACCCGCGAGGGGGAGCUAAUCGCAGAAAGUGUAUCGUAGUCCGGAUUGUAGUCUGCAACUCGACUGCAUGAAGUUGGAAUCGCUAGUAAUCGCGGAUCAGCAUGUCGCGGUGAAUACGUUCCCGGGUCU
RNAcentral lists this ribosomal RNA (1352 nucleotides) under uncultured bacterium. RNAcentral describes it as "bacterial SSU rRNA". It matches the Rfam family "Bacterial small subunit ribosomal RNA", at positions 28 to 1381 of the family's 1533-position model. The record is from RNAcentral.